RNAcentral lists this ribosomal RNA (253 nucleotides) under uncultured bacterium. Its description in RNAcentral is "partial 16S ribosomal RNA". It matches the Rfam family "Bacterial small subunit ribosomal RNA", at positions 524 to 776 of the family's 1533-position model. The record is from RNAcentral.
UACAGAGGGGGCAAGCGUUGUUCGGAAUUACUGGGCGUAAAGGGCGCGUAGGUGGCCUUCUAAGUUGAACGUGAAAUCCCUGGGCUCAACCCAGGAACUGCGUCCAAGACUGGGAGGCUUGAAUCCGGGAGAGGGAUGCGGAAUUCCAGGUGUAGCGGUGAAAUGCGUAGAUAUCUGGAGGAACACCGGUGGCGAAGGCGGCAUCCUGGACCGGUAUUGACACUGAGGCGCGAAAGCGUGGGGAUCAAACAGG